GACUACUCGGGUAUCUAAUCCUGUUUGCUACCCACGCUUUCGCACCUCAGCGUCAGGGUCAGUCCAGAAAGCCGCCUUCGCCACUGGUAUUCCUCCUGAUUUCUACGCAUUUCACCGCUACACCAGGAAUUCUGCUUUCCUCUCCUGCCCUCAAGAAACCCAGUUUCAAGUGCAUACCCGAGGUUGAGCCUCGGUCUUUCACACCUGACUUAAGUUCCCGCCUACGUGCUCUUUACGCCCAGUAAUUCCGGACAACGCUCGCCCCCUACGUCUUACCGCGGCUGCUGGCACGUAGUUAGCCGGGGCUUCCUCUUAGGGUACCGUCAUUUACAGGGCAUAUUACUCCCCGUAACAUUCGUCCCCUAAAACAGAGCUUUACAACCCUAAGGCCUUCUUCGCUCACGCGGCGUCGCUGCGUCAGGGUUUCCCCCAUUGCGCAAUAUUCCCCACUGCAGCCUCCCGUAGG
RNAcentral lists this ribosomal RNA (466 nucleotides) under uncultured Syntrophomonas sp. Its description in RNAcentral is "partial 16S ribosomal RNA". The record is from RNAcentral. Lineage: Bacteria; Bacillati; Bacillota; Clostridia; Eubacteriales; Syntrophomonadaceae.